CUAAAUCCAAGAGAAUUGGGUCGAAAGAUGCCUCUUCUCUACUGGCCUUUGGGCCUUUAACCUUUUGUGAACUGUUAAUUGACUCUGGUCAGAGGCGUAUGCGCUGGCCGGUUAUUUUAAACCUAGUCUUUAUUGUCUUAGCUUUAUUUUAAUAUAAA
Molecule: unclassified non-coding RNA, 158 nt
Filed under: uncultured fungus
Lineage: Eukaryota; Fungi
Description: sequence contains ITS1
Source: RNAcentral